RNAcentral lists this non-coding RNA (23 nucleotides) under Arabidopsis thaliana (thale cress). Lineage: Eukaryota; Viridiplantae; Streptophyta; Magnoliopsida; Brassicales; Brassicaceae. The record is from RNAcentral.
GUAUCUUACACCCGCCUAAAUAG